This is a long non-coding RNA of Girardinichthys multiradiatus, 2428 nucleotides long. RefSeq lists it as uncharacterized. The transcript has 2 exons. The record is from RefSeq and is a predicted model, not a curated record. NCBI's taxonomy places the organism in Eukaryota, Metazoa, Chordata, Actinopteri, Cyprinodontiformes, Goodeidae.
AAUACACCAUACUGGUAUCAUUAUUGCUUUAAUUGUGUAAUUAUGUCAGGCUAUUAAAAUAUUGUAACUAUUAAAGAUCAAAGUUCUUUAAUAAAAUCAAAGGCAUAACAUAAAGAAAGACAAUGAGCCUCUGAGCUAAUGAAAUGAUUUUAUUAUCAUGGUUUUUAUCUCUACUCUGUUUUCUGUUUUUCAUAAUGCCCGUGAAAGAUGAUAAUAAGGUAUACAAGAAUGCCAAUCCAGAGGACAAUUAGAAUAUCCUCCUCUCUGCUUCAAAGGGAUAAUUGUCCUCGGCCCUCUAUAUUUCGACACUGUUAUCUUUCUGGAGUGAGCUUAAAGUGAAUUUAGUAAUAAAUUGGAGCCAAUACCUGUUAUCUCCUCACUUUAGGUUUCCAGCCCAAGGCUCCUCAGACAAACACAAGUGUCAAGUCAGAACACUAAUUGGGGUCUCUCUGCUUGAGCGAUAAUUGAACCCACUGAGCGCUUUAGUGACAUUUCAGCUGAAGGUCUUUCACUGCCUUCUCAUGUCAUUGUCCACCUUUUGUGCUCCGGCUCCUCCAAGGGGAUUUUAAAAAGCAGUCCCUGAUGGUAGGUUUAUUAGUCUAAUGACUUUCAUGACCUUUACCUUUGUCGGUUUGAUACACUUUUUAAACAUUUUACUGGCCUUGAAGUGGCAUCCUGAAGGGUAGUAAAAAAAUUACACCUCUUCAUAACCUCAACAAAAAACAUUAUGGGAUUUAGGGGAGGUUGUAAAGGGAAUCGCAAGAACUUUGAAAAAGAUGACCCUUCUGCAAUAAGAAUUUAACCAUUUCAUUAAGCUGGGUGGUGGAAAUAAUAAGUUAAAUGUUGUACAAGAAGAGGAGAAGGUACCACUGUAUGUUCUCAUCCUGUUGGAAUAGAAUAAAAACAACUGCAAUAUCGCAUAAUGUCAUUUUCUUUAGCAAAACUAGAAACUGUGUCUAUAUUAAUCCCCAACAGCCAUGGUUUUAAAGAUCCAUCCACCCUUAGAUCCAUCCAUCCAGCUUGUUUUCCCAGGUUAACAUUAGCCUUGUAUAUGUGGUCAUGAGUUGUUUUGUUUUAUUAUAAAUCAUGAAGCCAAGCUUGUUACUCUUCUAAAUUGCAUUUUGCUAACAUCAAAACUAAAAAUACAGGUUUGGGCAAAAAUAAAUGUAACACAUCUAAACCUAUGACAUUUUGUCAAAUAUAUUAAAAGAACUGGCAACUGGGGAAAUAGUUUAUCUAAUAUUAGCAACUCCCCAUAUAUAAUGUAGUCAAUAUGGAGAGCAUUUGAGUGGAGGAUGAGCAGCUGCAGCUGGGGAGCAGUGGUGGUAGGCGUUGCGCUAAUUAGUAUAUUAGAUCUAAGCCAAACAAAUAAAACAACGGUGAAGAGUUACAUCAAGGGCAUUCUAGGACAUGAGUGGAUUUUCUCAUGAAAGAAAAAAAGGCUUAAAGAAACUAAUAAAUGCCAAGGAUUCAUACUUUGUGAUGUUUGUAUCAUUAUUUGUGUUGGGGUUUUUGUCAGUGUGUGUAUGUGUGUGUAUGGUAUACUUGUUUUCAUGGCUUCAGUGUUUCUCAGUUGGUGCUGGAGGUUCUCAGGUGCGCUGGAUGACAGGUGUGACCUAUCUACUGAUUGCAUGGAGGAGUACUUAAGCGGGAAGCUGCCAGCACUUCGAUGCCAGAGUGUUUGCCUUAGUGGUAACAAGCUCAGCCUCUCCUGAUUUUUUGCUGCGCUUCAUGUGCUCUUUGUAAUUGUUGAAUUUGUUCCCUCGCAGGUUUUUUUGCCUGAGGCUUUGCUUACUUUGCUGAGUCCUGACUUUGUUCCGGAGGUCCUCUGAACAAUCUGGAUAAUCAUCUACUGAGUAUUGGAUCAACCUUCUGGUGGAUUUCUCUGCCUACCGUCUGUACCUUUUGGACACGGAUCAAGCUAGUGGCUUCUCGCUUCCUUCAACCCCAGGACCAAGGCAUAAGCAUACCCUGUUCCUCCCUCCUUCGCAAACAUCGGCACCUGUGCUUCAACUGUUUUGCACCUAACCAGCAGCUGAGAAGACAGCUGGACAACCCCACUUCACAAGCUAAGACUCUGAAUCCCUCUACCCCUGGUGGUUCAAGCAACAGCAAUUUAUUGGAGUUUCCAGUUCCCGUGCCUUAUUACUUCGCUGACAAUAAAACACGUUAAAAUGUUACUUCUGAGUGUUCUCUGUAUGUGGGUCAAAACUAUUGAAAAGGACAGAUUUGAGUCUUUUACUUGUUCUGUGAUGCUUUUUUUUAUUCUGUUGCUUACACCUGCCACCUUGUUUGAAAUUUAACCUUCAGAGCACAAAGUCUCUUGUUUUCAGUUGCUUUUCAAAAUAUUCUUGUCAGGGUUAACACCUGUGAGUUCCUGGCACUAUAGUUUGUUUUCAAUAAACGACUGACACCACGUGUGUCUCGA